AUUUCAGUUUGUUGAACUCGGAGUUUCGAUUGAAACCAGCAGAGGCCGCAAGUUGUCUUUCAGUGCGUCUGACUGGGGAAUCUCUUUAAAUCCUAAAUUUAUACAAAAAGCUGAGCCUGGAUUUCAGCGCCCCUGGUGGCUGCUCCCGGGCUGCGAGUGGGAAAUCACUGCAGCUUCCUUCUGCCAGAACUCUGCGCCAGGACAACUCCGUUGGAGAAGAUCGUGGCAAUGUUAGAAGAGGAUUUAAAGGAGCCUUUCCUAUGUACCCUGGAGGGCGAAAAUGCAAGUAAAAGACUUCAGCCCCUUGUAACUGGGUCAGUCUCUCUCUGGAAAGUAAACUUCUCUGGGUGCCCGCAGCCUCCGCGCUGCUGUCUCCCGGGGACCCUGGGAGCCUCUGGACGCCGAAUCCCCAUGAUGGGAUGAGCCAAGAGCCGCUCCCAAGAGUGAGAGCUGCCAACCCCAAGAACGAAAACGACAAUGACGUGGUGGGAGUGGAGGCCGCAGCUGCUACACAUCACGCUGUGACCUUGGUAUGCUACAUACGACCUCCAGAGUGGUGGUCGAGAACAGACCUAAGGACUGGACCUAAGGAGAGAACGGGACCCUACGCACCCCACCCCCCACCCCCACCCCAGCCCUCUUGUCCUCCUCUUUUCCUCUCACUCUCUUCUCACUCCGGAACCACUCUUCCACCCGAGGUGGCCUCUCUAACUUUCUUGCUUCACAUCGCCCACGCCCUCAUGCGACGUGGUGCUAGGUGGGAAGCACGUUCCGGUUUCAAUAGGGCACCCUCUAGAUUUUCCAGGGAAAUUUGGUUCAACCGCGGUAGGGAGGCUUUAAAGAAUACACACUUUUGAAAUACACACUCUCCAAUGUGGGGACUCCUCGGUAUUAAAACUCAGAAAGACUAAGUGGGAAUCUGUUAUUUUAAUAUUUGCUUAUUUAUUUUUUAUUUGUGUGUAAGAAGAUGUCGGGUUCCCUGGUGAUGAAGUUACAGGCAGCUGUCAGCCACCUCAUGUGGAUGCUGGGAACUGAACGCUGGUCCUCAGCAAGAGCGGCAAACAUGCUCAGUGGCCAGCCAUCUCUUCAGCUCCCUUAGUGACAUUUUUGAUCCCCCAGGAACUCUUUCAUGGAACACCUCCUGGGUGUUCUUAGGUGCCAGGCCCAGGUCUCUCCCCAAUGCAGAGACCAUGCAUCUUCUCCCCUCAGUCUCCCCGUUCCUUCAAUCACAGCAUCAGCUCGAAGUAGGUGGCUUAUACAGCACCAUAUCAGAAGUCCGUAAUCUCGUUAGAACCAUUCAUAUCGGCAAAGUAAGGUGGUUUAUACAGCACCAUAUCAGAAGUCCAGAGUCUCAUCAGAACCAUCCAUAUCGGGCGUGGAUGAGGUUUUCUGAGUGUAUGUUACGGUUCUGUCCUGGAGAGGGGCAACUUUCUUGCCCGCAGCUUCCUUUCUCUCUUUCCUUCUUUUUUUUCCCCCCUUGUGAAGUCCAGUCUGACGCCAGAGUCAUUGUGCA
Molecule: non-coding RNA, 1513 nt
Organism: Peromyscus maniculatus bairdii (prairie deer mouse)
Lineage: Eukaryota; Metazoa; Chordata; Mammalia; Rodentia; Cricetidae
Source: RefSeq, a predicted model, not a curated record